This 136-nucleotide ribosomal RNA is filed under the name Vulpes vulpes (red fox). Lineage: Eukaryota; Metazoa; Chordata; Mammalia; Carnivora; Canidae. The record is from RNAcentral.
GUCUAUGGCCAUACCACCCUGAAAGUGUCUGACCUCGUCUGAUCUCAGAAGCUAAGCAGGGUCAGGCCUGGUUAGUACUUGGAUGGGACAGAAGUUGAAAAAACCCAUGUUUGGGGGGAAUAGGAAGAUCAGGAUU